CACUGGGACUGAGACACGGCCCAGACUCCUACGGGAGGCAGCAGUGGGGAAUAUUGCACAAUGGGCGCAAGCCUGAUGCAGCAACGCCGCGUGAGGGAUGACGGCCUUCGGGUUGUAAACCUCUUUUAGCAGGGAAGAAGCGAAAGUGACGGUACCUGCAGAAAAAGCGCCGGCUAACUACGUGCCAGCAGCCGCGGUAAUACGUAGGGCGCAAGCGUUAUCCGGAAUUAUUGGGCGUAAAGAGCUCGUAGGCGGUUUGUCGCGUCUGCUGUGAAAUCCGGAGGCUCAACCUCCGGCCUGCAGUGGGUACGGGCAGACUAGAGUGCGGUAGGGGAGAUUGGAAUUCCUGGUGUAGCGGUGGAAUGCGCAGAUAUCAGGAGGAACACCGAUGGCGAAGGCAGAUCUCUGGGCCGUAACUGACGCUGAGGAGCGAAAGGGUGGGGAGCAAACAGGCUUAGAUACCCUGGUAGUCCACCCCGUAAACGUUGGGAACUAGUUGUGGGGUCCAUUCCACGGAUUCCGUGACGCAGCUAACGCAUUAAGUUCCCCGCCUGGGGAGUACGGCCGCAAGGCUAAAACUCAAAGGAAUUGACGGGGACCCGCACAAGCGGCGGAGCAUGCGGAUUAAUUCGAUGCAACGCGAAGAACCUUACCAAGGCUUGACAUAUACGAGAACGGGCCAGAAAUGGUCAACUCUUUGGACACUCGUAAACAGGUGGUGCAUGGUUGUCGUCAGCUCGUGUCGUGAGAUGUUGGGUUAAGUCCCGCAACGAGCGCAACCCUCGUUCUAUGUUGCCAGCACGUAAUGGUGGGAACUCAUGGGAUACUGCCGGGGUCAACUCGGAGGAAGGUGGGGAUGACGUCAAAUCAUCAUGCCCCUUAUGUCUUGGGCUUCACGCAUGCUACAAUGGCCGGUACAAAGGGCUGCAAUACCGCGAGGUGGAGCGAAUCCCAAAAAGCCGGUCCCAGUUCGGAUUGAGGUCUGCAACUCGACCUCAUGAAGUCGGAGUCGCUAGUAAUCGCAGAUCAGCAACGCUGCGGUGAAUACGUUCCCGGGUCUUGUACACACCGCCCGUCAAGUCAUGAAAGUCGGUAACACCUGAAGCCGGUGGCCUAACCCUUGUGGAGGGAGCCGUCG
This 1138-nucleotide ribosomal RNA is filed under the name Microbacterium sp. RNAcentral describes it as "bacterial SSU rRNA". It matches the Rfam family "Bacterial small subunit ribosomal RNA", at positions 311 to 1458 of the family's 1533-position model. The record is from RNAcentral. Lineage: Bacteria; Bacillati; Actinomycetota; Actinomycetes; Micrococcales; Microbacteriaceae.